GACGAACCGUGCGAACGUUAUUCGGAAUCAUUGGGCUUAAAGAGCGCGUAGGCGGCGUGACAAGUGAGGGGUGAAAUCCUGUCGGCUCAACCGUGGGACCGCCUUUCAUACUGUCGUGCUAGAGUGAGGUAGGGGCCGGUGGAACUUCCAGUGGAGCGGUGAAAUGUGUUGAGAUUGGAAGGAACGCCAGUGGCGAAAGCGACCGGCUGGAACUCUACUGACGCUGAGGCGCGAAAGCCAGGGGAGCGAACGGG
Molecule: ribosomal RNA, 254 nt
Filed under: uncultured bacterium
Lineage: Bacteria
Description: partial 16S ribosomal RNA
Rfam family: Bacterial small subunit ribosomal RNA
Source: RNAcentral